GAUGAACGCUAGCUACAGGCUUAACACAUGCAAGUCGAGGGGUAACAAGAGAAAAGCUUGCUUUUCUUGUUGACGACCGGCGCACGGGUGAGUAACGCGUAUCCAACCUGCCUAUAACUAGGGAAUAACCUUGCGAAAGUAAGACUAAUACCCUAUGAUUUCCUUUGAUGACAUCAGAUUAGGAAUAAAGAUUUAUCGGUUAUAGAUGGGGAUGCGUCUGAUUAGCUUGUUGGCGGGGUAACGGCCCACCAAGGCAACGAUCAGUAGGGGUUCUGAGAGGAAGGUCCCCCACAUUGGAACUGAGACACGGUCCAAACUCCUACGGGAGGCAGCAGUGAGGAAUAUUGGUCAAUGGGCGGAAGCCUGAACCAGCCAAGUAGCGUACAGGAUGACGGCCCUAUGGGUUGUAAACUGCCUUUAUACAGGAAUAAAGUUAGCCACGUGUGGUUAUUUGUAGGUACUGUAUGAAUAAGGACCGGCUAAUUCCGUGCCAGCAGCCGCAGUAA
Molecule: ribosomal RNA, 506 nt
Filed under: uncultured bacterium
Lineage: Bacteria
Description: partial 16S ribosomal RNA
Rfam family: Bacterial small subunit ribosomal RNA
Source: RNAcentral